UCUCCCUCCCUCCUCCUGCCCCGCCCUCCCUUCCCCAGCACAAGUGGCUCAAAGGCCCCAAGAAGGCUUCAUGGAACCUCGGGGCUGAGAUCAUCAGACUUCUGCUGGAUCAUAAAAGAUGCAAUGCUUCCACGGCUUUCUCUCUCUUGGAUCACUCACUCUGGAGGAUGCCAGCUGCCAUGUCGUGUGGACACUCGGACAGCCAAGAGCCACUUGAGUGAGCCAUCAUAGAAAUGGCCCUUCCAGCCCCAGAUCCCAAAUUCAAUGGAGAUUAGAAAAAAGGAAAAGAGAGAGUCCUGCUUUUGGUCAGGGGACCUGGGGCUGAUUCCCAGCUCUGCCACUGACCCCCAUGGGGCUGCAGGAAGUUCCUCUCUGGAACUGCUGGGCACAGUUUUCUGGUGUGCAUGAGAUUAGUCAUGUGCCCACCCUGCCCACGUCUGAGGACCAUGGAGGCGAUGAGUGAUGAGCAAGAACGUGCUUUCAAAAGGGGAAACGAGCUCUUCCCAUGUUCCCCGGCAUCUGCUUUCAACUGCCUUUCAAGGAGGAGAGAAAGG
Non-coding RNA from Microcebus murinus (gray mouse lemur), 554 nucleotides. Lineage: Eukaryota; Metazoa; Chordata; Mammalia; Primates; Cheirogaleidae. The record is from RefSeq and is a predicted model, not a curated record.